AUCCAGCUGGCGAGUCUCAAACAGGGCAAAACGCUCGUCCUGAAU
RNAcentral lists this non-coding RNA (45 nucleotides) under Schistosoma curassoni. Lineage: Eukaryota; Metazoa; Platyhelminthes; Trematoda; Strigeidida; Schistosomatidae. The record is from RNAcentral.